Molecule: transfer RNA, 74 nt
Filed under: Endocarpon pusillum Z07020
Lineage: Eukaryota; Fungi; Ascomycota; Eurotiomycetes; Verrucariales; Verrucariaceae
Description: tRNA-Ile (TAT) (tRNA-Ile-TAT-2-1)
Source: RNAcentral
GUUUCCGUGGCGCAAUCGGUUAGCGCGUCCGACGUAUGAUCGGGAGGUUGGAAGUUCAAGCCUUCCCGGGAACG